RNAcentral lists this ribosomal RNA (232 nucleotides) under uncultured bacterium. Its description in RNAcentral is "partial 16S ribosomal RNA". It matches the Rfam family "Bacterial small subunit ribosomal RNA", at positions 524 to 754 of the family's 1533-position model. The record is from RNAcentral.
UACGUAGGUGGCAAGCGUUGUCCGGAUUUACUGGGCGUAAAGAGCGCGCAGGCGGUCGUGCAAGUCGCGUGUGAAAGCCCCCCGGCUCAACUGGGGAGGGUCACGCGAUACUGCUCGACUGGAAGGCAGGAGAGGGAAGCAGAAUUCCCGGUGUAGUGGUGAAAUUCGUAGAUAUCGAGAAGAACACCGGUGGCGAAGGCGGCGACCUGGUCCGAUACUGACGCUGAGGCGC